UACGGGGGGGGCAAGCGUUGUUCGGAAUUACUGGGCGUAAAGGGCUCGUAGGUGGCCAACUAAGUCAGACGUGAAAUCCCUCAGCUUAACUGGGGAACUGCGUCUGAUACUGGAUGGCUUGAGUUUGGGAGAGGGAUGCGGAAUUCCAGGUGUAGCGGUGAAAUGCGUAGAUAUCUGGAGGAACACCGGUGGCGAAGGCGGCAUCCUGGACCGAGAUUGACGCUGAGGCGCGAAAGCCAGGGGAGCAAACGGG
Molecule: ribosomal RNA, 253 nt
Filed under: uncultured bacterium
Lineage: Bacteria
Description: partial 16S ribosomal RNA
Rfam family: Bacterial small subunit ribosomal RNA
Source: RNAcentral